This is a non-coding RNA of Erythranthe guttata (spotted monkey flower), 3306 nucleotides long. Lineage: Eukaryota; Viridiplantae; Streptophyta; Magnoliopsida; Lamiales; Phrymaceae. The record is from RefSeq and is a predicted model, not a curated record.
CCACCAGUUGAAUGGGUUACGUUUCGCUCUUCGGAAAAGCUUAGGGAUUCAAGGAAUUUCAUCAAAAUCCUUGUUCCAUGCUGGUUUCCACAAUUAGGUUAGUUUCUCCGAAGAAGAAUAAUCUAUUCACAAAGCUCCAAUUUAAUCGAUUACUUGCAGUUCCAUCGCUCGCCCAUUUCACCCCUUACUUCUCCGAUUCGGGUUCCGAUAUCGAUCAUUCUAGAAACGACGUUACUCUCUCAAAUUACCCUAACAAUGGCAAUGGUAUUAGUAUUAAUAAUUCAUUCGAAUUCAAUUCGUCUAGGGUUGUGCAGAAUCUAACAGAUAUGCGGUGUGAACCCAAAUCUGCAUUAUCCUUCUUCAACCAACUCAAAGAAAAUGGUUUUCAACACGAUAUCGAAUGUUACUUGGCUAUUAUCAAGAUACUCUGCUAUUGGGGAUUGGUUAGAAAUUUGGAUUCUUUGUUCACGGAUGUUAUAAUUUCGAAAAAGGAGCAUCUUUCUUUCGAGGUGUCGGAUUUGUUGGAGGCUAUAGCGGAGGAGUUCAAGGCCGCCGGGCGGCAAAGCUCGCUCUUUCGUGCUUUCGACGCUCUCGUGAAGAGUUACGUUAGUUUAGGAAUGUUCGACGAGGCAAUUGACACUCUUUUCGGUACAAAAAGGCGCGGUGUGGGCCCGUGUUUGCUUUCGUGUAAUUUCUUGUUGAAUAGGCUAAUUGGGCACGGGGAUGUGGGUGUUGCCUUUGCUCUCUACGAGCAUAUGAAGAAGACUCUCGAGCUGAUUCCGAACGUGUAUACUUACGGGAUUGUGAUUAAGGGGCAUUGUAUAAAUGGUGAUUUGGAAGAAGCUGCGAAGGUGCUUCUUGAAAUGGAGGAAGCUCGUGUGGCGCCUAAUGCGUUUACGUAUACGGCUUAUCUUCAAGGGCUGUGCGCGCACGGUAGGUCGGAUGUAGGGUACGAGCUCUUAAGAAAGUGGAAAGACACAAACGCGCCUCUCGAUGAUUAUGCGUGUACUGUAGUGAUUCAGGGAUUUGUUAGCGAAAGCAAACCCGAACGGGCGGAGAUUGUUUUACGUGAAAUGGAAGAAAACGGCUUUGUUCCCGACGAAGCUAACUACCGUGCGUUGGUUCGUGGGUAUUGUGAUUGUGGCGACAUAAAUAAAGCGUUGAAUAUCCAUACUGAGAUGGAGGGAAAGGGUAUCAAAACCAAUUGUUUUAUCCUCACUCCGAUUCUUCAGUACUUGUGUCUGAGAGGUAUGUAUAGUGAAGUAAUCGACCAGUUUAAGAACUUGAACGAUUCGGGCAUAUUUCUUGAUGAAGUUGCGUAUAAUGUUGCUAUGGAUGCAUUGUGCAAGAUGGGUGAGUUGGACGAUGCUCUGAGAUUGUUCGACGAGAUGAAGUGCAAGAAUCUCGUACCAGAUGCCGUGCAUUACACCACUUUGAUUAAUGGUUGCUGUCUCCAUGGAAGUAUUUCCGAUGCUGUAAACUUAUUCGACGAAAUGAUUGAAGAUGGUCUCAAAGCUGAUGUUAUUACAUAUAAUGUCCUCAUUUCUGGACUCGCUCGGAAUGGUUUUACGCGCAAAGUAUUUGACCUUCUCGAUAGUAUGAAACAGCACGGGUUGACUCCCAGUGCGUUGACGCACAGCUUUAUCAUUGAAGGCCUGUGCUUUGCAAGAAAGUCGAAGGAAGCCAAAAAUUAUUUCGGUAAUUUGGAAGAGAAGAGUGUAGAAAAUUGGGCUUCUAUGGUCAACGGUUACUGCGAAUUGGGCGAGGCAACUGAAGGAUAUGAACUUUUUCGUAAACUGCUCGAUCAAAGAAUUUUAGUACAUAGAAAUACCUCUUCGAAACUAAUCGACUGCCUCUGCUUGGAAGGCAAAAACAACCGUGCUAUCGAGGUAUUCGAGGCUAUGCUUUUUUGGGGUGACGUCCCUAGUGAGACAAUGUACAGCAAGCUUAUUGCCGCCCUUUGUCGUGCUGGCGAUAUGAAAGGGGCAAAAUGGGUAUUUUGCAAUAUGGUAGGGAAACGAUUAUCUCCAGAUUUGGUUACGUACACAAUGUUGUUGAACGGUUAUUGUCAGGUGAAUCGUCUGAAGGAAGCUCUUGCUCUUUUCGGCGAUAUGAAGAAAAGGGGCAUUAGUCCCGAUAUCAUCACUUAUACCGUAUUACUGGAUGGUGGUUGUAAAAUAAUGGCUAAAUCACGAAAGAAUGGCAAAAAAAACAAUACGAUAAUUAAAGAGAUGGCUUCGGCUCUUUGGCGUGAGAUGGAGGAGAUGGGAUUAAAACCGGAUGUGAUUAGCUACACAGCAUUAAUCGACAGUCGGUGUAAAUUGGGCAAUCUUGAAGUUGCUGUUUCGCUUUUCGAUGAAAUGAUCGAACGGGGUAUACUACCUGAUACAGUUGCGUAUACGGCGCUUUUAUCGGGAUAUUGUAAGAUGGGAAAUAUGAACGAGGCCGACACUCUUUUGGAUGAGAUGUCGUCGAAAGGAAUAGAGCCGAAUACCCGUACGAUGACCACUUUCCAUAACGGGACGAAGAAAUUCUCUGCAAAUCGUAAUCGAGGACAGCUAAAAGACAGAAUGAAUUGUUAGAGUUCACUUGCAAAACAUUCAGAAGCCCAAUUUCAAUGCAAAGCCCAUAUUCUCAGGUUGAUACUAUGAUAAUACAAGCCAUAAGCUUUGUUGGAUGACCUCUCGACGAAAGAGCUAAAAACGUGCACGUAUGUAAUGAGGGUUAGGGAAAGGUAUGGUUGGAAGUUUCCGGAACUUGCGAAGAAUCAUACAUAUACAAGACAAUUCCUGCGAAGCUUGAUUUCUCUGAGAUACUUUAAGUGGAAGUCGAGACAGGCAGAACUGCCGAAAGAAACAAAUCUAUGGGUUUGAAGAACAGAGCUAAGAUGAGAAGAAGAAAACGAGAAAACACCAAGCGAACAAGAAGAAGAAAAUGAAGAUUGAACAUUCAUGAGAAAGUUGGGCUUUUAUGUUCUAAUAUAAAAGGCGGUUGUUUUCAAUCGACGUGAUUGGCGGAGUUGCAAAGGUGGCUUGCAGCUUAUCGGUGCGAGGGGUAUUUUGGUCCGAUUACUAAUGAUGGAAUGCCUGGUGGUCUGUUAGCAAAAUGCUAAAUAUGUUUGUCUUUAUUUGAAAGGAAAUUAUAGUAGAUGGAUGUAUAGCAAAUUGCCCCUUUUUAAAUAGGUAAUUGUAUAAAAGACGAUACAAAAGCACUUCGUAAUUACGUUAUAUUGAAGGGGGAGUGAGUAACUGUAAUUUCUCUAAUAAAAAAAGGGGUAAAUGGGUGAUACCCCUAUUUCUGAAAAUA